This 493-nucleotide ribosomal RNA is filed under the name uncultured bacterium. RNAcentral's name for it is "partial 16S ribosomal RNA". It matches the Rfam family "Bacterial small subunit ribosomal RNA", at positions 30 to 523 of the family's 1533-position model. The record is from RNAcentral.
AUUGAACGCUGGCGGCAUGCCUUACACAUGCAAGUCGAACGGUAACAGGUUAAGCUGACGAGUGGCGAACGGGUGAGUAAUAUAUCGGAACGUGCCCAGUCGUGGGGGAUAACGUAGCGAAAGCUACGCUAAUACCGCAUACGAUCUACGGAUGAAAGCGGGGGAUCGCAAGACCUCGCGCGAUUGGAGCGGCCGAUAUCAGAUUAGGUUGUUGGUGAGGUAAAGGCUCACCAAGCAUGCGAUCUGUAGCUGGUCUGAGAGGACGACCAGCCACACUGGAACUGAGACACGGUCCAGACUCCUACGGGAGGCAGCAGUGGGGAAUUUUGGACAAUUGACGCAAGUCUGAUCCAGCAAUGCCGCGUGCAGGACGAAGGCCUUCGGGUUGUAAACUGCUUUUGUACGGAACGAAACGGCGAGCUCUAAUACAGUUUGCUAAUGACGGUACCGUAAGAAUAAGCACCGGCUAACUACGUGCCAGCAGCCGCCGUAA